This 372-nucleotide ribosomal RNA is filed under the name uncultured organism. RNAcentral describes it as "bacterial SSU rRNA". It matches the Rfam family "Bacterial small subunit ribosomal RNA", at positions 526 to 896 of the family's 1533-position model. The record is from RNAcentral.
CAGAGGGGGCAAGCGUUGUUCGGAAUUACUGGGCGUAAAGGGCGCGUAGGCGGCCUGCUAAGUCGAACGUGAAAUCCCUGGGCUCAACCCAGGAACUGCGUCCGAUACUGGUUGGCUUGAAUCCGGGAGAGGGAUGUGGAAUUCCAGGUGUAGCGGUGAAAUGCGUAGAUAUCUGGAGGAACACCGGUGGCGAAGGCGACAUCCUGGACCGGUAUUGACGCUGAGGCGCGAAAGCCAGGGGAGCAAACGGGAUUAGAUACCCCGGUAGUCCUGGCCCUAAACGAUGAAUGCUUGGUGUGGCGGGUAUCGAUCCCUGCCGUGCCGAAGCUAACGCAUUAAGCAUUCCGCCUGGGGAGUACGGUCGUAAGGCUG